RNAcentral lists this ribosomal RNA (253 nucleotides) under uncultured bacterium. RNAcentral describes it as "partial 16S ribosomal RNA". It matches the Rfam family "Bacterial small subunit ribosomal RNA", at positions 524 to 776 of the family's 1533-position model. The record is from RNAcentral.
UACGUAGGGUGCAAGCGUUAAUCGGAAUUACUGGGCGUAAAGCGUGCGCAGGCGGCUAUGCAAGACAGAUGUGAAAUCCCCGGGCUUAACCUGGGAACUGCAUUUGUGACUGCAUGGCUAGAGUACGGCAGAGGGGGAUGGAAUUCCGCGUGUAGCAGUGAAAUGCGUAGAUAUGCGGGGGAACACCGAUGGCGAAGGCAAUCCCCUGGGCCUGUACUGACGCUCAUGCACGAAAGCGUGGGGAGCAAACAGG